Molecule: transfer RNA, 65 nt
Filed under: Paralvinella hessleri
Lineage: Eukaryota; Metazoa; Annelida; Polychaeta; Terebellida; Alvinellidae
Description: tRNA-Cys
Rfam family: tRNA
About the family: Transfer RNA (tRNA) molecules are approximately 80 nucleotides in length. Their secondary structure includes four short double-helical elements and three loops (D, anti-codon, and T loops). Further hydrogen bonds mediate the characteristic L-shaped molecular structure. tRNAs have two regions of fundamental functional importance: the anti-codon, which is responsible for specific mRNA codon recognition, and the 3' end, to which the tRNAs corresponding amino acid is attached (by aminoacyl-tRNA synthetases). tRNAs cope with the degeneracy of the genetic code in two manners: having more than one tRNA (with a specific anti-codon) for a particular amino acid; and 'wobble' base-pairing, i.e. permitting non-standard base-pairing at the 3rd anti-codon position.
Source: RNAcentral
GGCCUUAUAGUUGAAAAACAACAUUAAACUGCAAACUUAAAAGUGUAGGCACUCUACUAAGGCUU